GAACGCACCUUGCACCCUUUGGUAUUCCGAAGGGUAUGCUCGUUUGAGUGUCAUUGUACUCUCACACUCUCUGAUCCUUUGGAUUCAGAGAGUGGUGGACUUGGGUGUUUGCUGCUUUCCUGGUGGCUCACCUCAAAUGCGUUAGUGCACCUCUUGGUUGGACAUAGUACGGCGUGAUAAGUAUCUUCGCCGGCGCCUCGCAAGAGGGUGGCCGAUUGGGAGCUCUGUGCUUUCAAACCGUCUUCGGACAAUCUCUGACAACUUGACCUCAAAUCGAGUAGGACUACCCGCUGAACUUAAG
RNAcentral lists this unclassified non-coding RNA (301 nucleotides) under Sebacina dimitica. Its description in RNAcentral is "sequence contains 5.8S rRNA gene". Lineage: Eukaryota; Fungi; Basidiomycota; Agaricomycetes; Sebacinales; Sebacinaceae. The record is from RNAcentral.